RNA transcript from Salvia miltiorrhiza (redroot sage), 1295 nucleotides. RefSeq lists it as uncharacterized. The transcript has a single exon. The record is from RefSeq and is a predicted model, not a curated record. Lineage: Eukaryota; Viridiplantae; Streptophyta; Magnoliopsida; Lamiales; Lamiaceae.
CAUGCAAAGUCAGAAAUGAACAAAAAUCCCUUAAUCAUAGGGAUUUUUGUACGACUAUCAUCUUCCCUUUGUAGUAUAAAAUGAAUGAUUGUAAAUCAAAGAAAGAUAUCAAGUAAUACAAUUACAAUCUUUAGUUUCUCUUUCUCUCUGCAUUAUGAUGAUACCAUGUUUCAACAUGGUAUCAGAGCAGGUUCAACCCUAGGAACUCAGAAACGAAUCAUCAUCGUUCAUAAUCCAAAACCAAAACCGUUCCUAGCCAAUUCACCAAAUCAAGGCAGACCCUGUUCUUCAUUUCCUGAAAAAAAAAAUGCCAGGAGAGAUUGAAACCAUAAACCAAACAGAUUCAAAUAACCCAAAUCCAAACAGAAUCCACAGAAUGGGUCGAAGAGACCCAAAUCCAAUCAACUGCAAUGAAGAAGGGAUUAAUAAGCACCGAAAAUUAAUCGGAAAUUGCCGAUUAUUUCAGUUCCUCCCUGGAUUCGAUGGCAGAUAUGAUAAACUUUGUCGGGACAUUCUCAAGAAAGUUCUCAUUCCCUCAGUCGAGUCGGCGUUCUCAAAAGUGAGGUGGGAGGCCGCCCGGCUACAGCCGGCAACCAACCCGGACCCUUCAUCAUCGGGUUCCAGCAGCGGCGAUUUCUCGCCGGCGCCGAUGCACGGCGCGCAGCUCACCGUCGCGUACCAGGGCGUCCCCGGCGCGUACAGCGAGGCCGCCGCCGGGAAAGCGUACCCUAACUGCGAGGCGAUUCCCUGCUGUGAGAAAGCUCACACUAACAAAGGCGCAUGGACUAAGGAGGAGGACGACCGGUUGAUCGCCUACAUCCGCGCCCAUGGGGAAGGCUGCUGGCGCUCCCUCCCCAAGGCCGCCGGCCUCCUCCACUGCGGCAAGAGCUGCCGCCUCCGCUGGAUCAACUACCUCCGCCCCGACCUCAAGCGCGGCAACUUCACCUCCGUCCCGACCUCAAGGGCGGUCAAGAGAGAGAAGUGCCCGGAUUUGAAUCUUGAGCUGAGAAUCAGCCCGCCGUAUCAGCAGAAUAUUCAGACUGGAGAGGAGAAGAAAAGACACGAAAAUGGGGAAGGAGCGGCGCAUGAUUGUGGAGGAAAAGGAAAAAUAGGUAUAGGGUUUGGUGGCUUGCCACUAAACCCUUCAACUUUUGCUAAAUUAUUAAAUAGACCCCACUCUAUGCAAAGUGACCUCCCUACUAUUGUUAAAUAUCAGAUUGGCCCCCAUUUGCAACCUAGUCCUCCAUUAUCUAGAGAUUUAUACAAAAUACCCCAUAAAUUACAAAACCACCCCA